Molecule: ribosomal RNA, 363 nt
Filed under: uncultured bacterium
Lineage: Bacteria
Description: bacterial SSU rRNA
Rfam family: Bacterial small subunit ribosomal RNA
Source: RNAcentral
GAGUUUGAUCCUGGCUCAGAUUGAACGCUGGCGGCAGGCCUAACACAUGCAAGUCGAACGGUAACAGGAAGAAGCUUGCUUCUUUGCUGACGAGUGGCGGACGGGUGAGUAAUGUCUGGGAAACUGCCUGAUGGAGGGGGAUAACUACUGGAAACGGUAGCUAAUACCGCAUAACGUCGCAAGACCAAAGAGGGGGACCUUCGGGCCUCUUGCCAUCGGAUGUGCCCAGAUGGGAUUAGCUAGUAGGUGGGGUAACGGCUCACCUAGGCGACGAUCCCUAGCUGGUCUGAGAGGAUGACCAGCCACACUGGAACUGAGACACGGUCCAGACUCCUACGGGAGGCAGCAGUGGGGAAUAUUGCA